GCGCGAUUAGCUCAGCGGGAGAGCGCUUCCCUGACACGGAAGAGGUCACAGGUUCAAUCCCUGUAUCGCGCACCA
This 75-nucleotide transfer RNA is filed under the name Gordonia rubripertincta. Its description in RNAcentral is "tRNA-Val". It matches the Rfam family "tRNA". From Rfam's summary of the family: Transfer RNA (tRNA) molecules are approximately 80 nucleotides in length. Their secondary structure includes four short double-helical elements and three loops (D, anti-codon, and T loops). Further hydrogen bonds mediate the characteristic L-shaped molecular structure. tRNAs have two regions of fundamental functional importance: the anti-codon, which is responsible for specific mRNA codon recognition, and the 3' end, to which the tRNAs corresponding amino acid is attached (by aminoacyl-tRNA synthetases). tRNAs cope with the degeneracy of the genetic code in two manners: having more than one tRNA (with a specific anti-codon) for a particular amino acid; and 'wobble' base-pairing, i.e. permitting non-standard base-pairing at the 3rd anti-codon position. The record is from RNAcentral. RNAcentral also lists the same sequence under 24 other names. Lineage: Bacteria; Bacillati; Actinomycetota; Actinomycetes; Mycobacteriales; Gordoniaceae.